UCUAAAAUAAAUAAUAUUUAUUUUUUAUAAUAAUAUUGUAUAUCCAAUUAACUAUUUUGGAAAUUAGUACCAAUAAAUAAUGUUUAAAUAUUGAAAUAAUAUAUUAAUUCUAAUCAAUAUUAUUAAUAUAUAUAUA
Molecule: unclassified non-coding RNA, 136 nt
Filed under: Clostridioides difficile T6
Lineage: Bacteria; Bacillati; Bacillota; Clostridia; Peptostreptococcales; Peptostreptococcaceae
Source: RNAcentral